GGUGAAGCCUCUGACUGGGACUAAGUCGUAACAAGGUAUCCGUAGGUGAACCUGCAGAGGGAUCA
RNAcentral lists this ribosomal RNA (65 nucleotides) under uncultured eukaryote. RNAcentral's name for it is "partial small subunit ribosomal RNA". The record is from RNAcentral.